This 253-nucleotide ribosomal RNA is filed under the name uncultured bacterium. RNAcentral's name for it is "partial 16S ribosomal RNA". It matches the Rfam family "Bacterial small subunit ribosomal RNA", at positions 524 to 776 of the family's 1533-position model. The record is from RNAcentral.
UACGGAGGGUGCUAGCGUUGUUCGGAAUUACUGGGCGUAAAGCGCGUGUAGGCGGCCUUACAGGUCAGCUGUGAAAACUCGAGGCUCAACCUCGAGACGUCGGUUGAAACCGUAUGGCUAGAGUCCGGAAGAGGAGAGUGGAAUUCCCGGUGUAGCGGUGAAAUGCGCAGAUAUCGGGAAGAACACCCGUGGCGAAGGCGGCUCUCUGGGACGGUACUGACGCUGAGACGCGAAAGCGUGGGGAGCGAACAGG